Molecule: long non-coding RNA, 1132 nt
Filed under: Ursus maritimus (polar bear)
Lineage: Eukaryota; Metazoa; Chordata; Mammalia; Carnivora; Ursidae
Description: lncRNA (ENSUMAG00000025381.1)
Source: RNAcentral
AUGGGGAUAAGUAAAUAGAGAACUCCUCAGGAGAAAUUAGCGUGAGAUAUCCACAAGAAGUAGUUGAGAGCUCCUGAUUCCCCUGCUGACCCUUCCAUCAGCCCCCUUGCUGGAGGAGUGGCCUUGCUGUUGAGUUCAUCCCUUUUUCCCCAGCACAAUGUCUGGUAUCAAGUACAGGCUCAACAAACACAGGUCGAAUUAAUGAAUAAAUAACUAGUGCAAUGGCUCUCACUCCCUUUUCAGCUCUGAACCAUUCUUGAAGCUACUCUCCCUGCCAACACUGUGGGGGCAACAAAGACUCACCAGUGCCAUGGUGGCCUUGGAGGCAGCUACCAGAGGGCAAGAGGCUGGGCUUAAAAAAAAAAAACAGCACGUGGACAGAAAGAACCCAAUGUCCAUCCCCAGUAAUACAUAACAAGCACUAGCCACGUAUUUCCCGAGUGCAUGGGAGGCAGCGGCCACUUCCUGGGUCUGCAGUGAAGAGCACAGACAGGCAGAGGAAGUGGUGAAAGAGGAUGCUCCAGUUAGAACCAGAACCCUGAGCACCUAAUGACCGAGAGGUUGAACAACCUGCGAUUGGUAAUUUACACCCUGAUGAAGGGAGUGAAGGUGGUGGAACGCCUCAAUGGUGAGACAAGAGAAUCCAGACAGGACAUGAAGGGACAUGUGCCCUGGGACGAAGACCACCCUGACGGCACGCAAGCCAAUACUUCACGGGGGCACCUACUGUACAGCUCGUCGUUCACGGCCGGAGUUGGACUCUUUCUCGGGACGCAUCCUUCCGCCCAUCAAGCACCUUAUAUGUAGUACACUUAGCUAUUUUCUCAGAAAAAAAAAUAAUCGGCUGAGAAGGAGUUCUGUUUCCAUUGUUCCAAUAAUUUUCAGCUUGGAGCGCGGAUUGGGGAUGUUUCAGGCUUGGCUGCCUGGCGGUUCCAUCUGUGUUGCUCUACUCCCAUCUACUGAUAAAAGGCUGCUACUUCUCCAGGAGCGCUCCUCGACGCCCUCUCCAGUGUGGACCACUACUGCAGGAGAAUCUGGAGCUGUUGGAAGUCACUUGGCCUUGGAGAUUAUCUGCCCGUGUGUCUGUUCUGAGGGUAAUUACCAGUACCCUAGUUUACUGACUGCUCUUUAA